Molecule: unclassified non-coding RNA, 331 nt
Filed under: fungal sp.
Lineage: Eukaryota; Fungi
Description: partial internal transcribed spacer region
Rfam family: Eukaryotic small subunit ribosomal RNA (bases 1-46)
Source: RNAcentral
AAGUCGUAACAAGGUUUCCGUAGGUGAACCUGCGGAAGGAUCAUUAACACGUAUCCAACGUUAAACAACCCUGUGAACUUUCAACCCCGCCGGAAUGAGAUUAAUUUCCAACUCCGGCGAAGACAAGUGACCUGGCACCUGACCUCAUCAAAGCUCUGACAGCAGGGUGACGCAGUAACGAUCGCUGGAGGCCCACACGGCCGGCGACCGGGUCAGCGGCAUUCUUUAAUGCCCCUUAAAACCACUUAACAUGACGACAGUUCCUCUUUAACUUGAGUUGAGCUAUAACAAAAAACUAAUACAACUGUUAACAAUGGAUAUCUUGGUUCUC